RNAcentral lists this ribosomal RNA (425 nucleotides) under uncultured bacterium. RNAcentral's name for it is "partial 16S ribosomal RNA". It matches the Rfam family "Bacterial small subunit ribosomal RNA", at positions 354 to 796 of the family's 1533-position model. The record is from RNAcentral.
GUUAGGAAUAUUGGACAAUGGGCGCAAGCCUGAUCCAGCCAUGCCGCGUGAGUGAUGAAGGCCUUCGGGUUGUAAAGCUCUUUAGCCGAUGAUUAUAAUGACUGUAGUCGGAAAAUAAGCCCCGGCUAACUUCGUGCCAGCAGCCGCGGUAAUACGAAGGGGGCGAGCGUUAUUCGGAAUCACUGGGCGUAAAGCGUGCGUAGGCGGCUUUGCAAGUUGGGAGUGAAAGCCCAGGGCACAACCCUGGAAUUGCUCUCAAAACUGCAAGGCUCGAAUUCGGGAGAGGAUAGCGGAAUUGUCAGUGUAGCAGUGAAAUGCGUAGAUAUUGACAGGAACACCAGUGGCGUAAGCGGCUAUCUGGACCGAUAUUGACGCUGAGGCACGAAAGCGUGGGGAUCAAACAGGAUUAGAAACCCCGGUAGUCC